UCGCGGCGUAGAGCAGUGGCAGCUCGGGUGGUCCAUAACCACCAGGACGUGGGUUCAAUUCCCACCGCCGCUAU
RNAcentral lists this transfer RNA (74 nucleotides) under subsurface metagenome. RNAcentral's name for it is "tRNA-Met". It matches the Rfam family "tRNA". From Rfam's summary of the family: Transfer RNA (tRNA) molecules are approximately 80 nucleotides in length. The record is from RNAcentral.